Molecule: ribosomal RNA, 449 nt
Filed under: uncultured bacterium
Lineage: Bacteria
Description: bacterial SSU rRNA
Rfam family: Bacterial small subunit ribosomal RNA
Source: RNAcentral
UGGGGAAUUUUGGACAAUGGGCGCAAGCCUGAUCCAGCCAUGCCGCGUGCGGGAAGAAGGCCUUCGGGUUGUAAACCGCUUUUGUCAGGGAAGAAAUCCUUUGGGUUAAUACCUCGGGGGGAUGACGGUACCUGAAGAAUAAGCACCGGCUAACUACGUGCCAGCAGCCGCGGUAAUACGUAGGGUGCAAGCGUUAAUCGGAAUUACUGGGCGUAAAGCGUGCGCAGGCGGUUCUAUAAGACAGAUGUGAAAUCCCCGGGCUCAACCUGGGAACUGCAUUUGUGACUGUAGAGCUGGAGUGCGGCAGAGGGGGAUGGAAUUCCGCGUGUAGCAGUGAAAUGCGUAGAUAUGCGGAGGAACACCGAUGGCGAAGGCAAUCCCCUGGGCCUGCACUGACGCUCAUGCACGAAAGCGUGGGGAGCAAACAGGAUUAGAUACCCCCGUAGUCC